UUCAAGUGCAUCUGUGGGAAAAGGCAUACCUCACUCUUCAUGAACAAGAUAAACCAGUGAAUGUAAGAAUACGGCCAGAGCCAUUGAAUCCAAGGGACCCAAGUGCAAUAGCAAUUGAUCUAGACUAUGGAACUGGAUGGCCCCAUGUUGGUUAUACAGUAUAUUGCUUCUGAACUAUGCACUGUAUCCACACCCAUUAAUUGCUGCAAGGGAUGUCGUGGAUGUCUAAUAUGUUCAGCAUAUCAAGUAUAGGAUUGACUUUUUUAAAAUAGGAUUUUAUCCAAAACAUUUUGCAGAGACAUGGUUAGUGCAUGGGAGACUUAAGUGGUAGGACAAGCAUGAGUGUAUGUUGACAGAUGUUUUUAUAUAAAUAAUAGCAACUAUGUUUAGCAAGUUAUUGAAGACAGUGCAUUUAUUUCAAUUGGCUAACUUUUUAGAUUUUUUCCAGCAUUUUUUAAACAAACCAUGGGUUAUAAAUGAUAACUUUCUGUAUCUAAUUAAAACAAUCUGUCAUGUACACUCAUGCAAAAUAAGUACAUAACUGUAAAAAUGUGCUUUAGUAAGUAAAUAAGUAAUUUAUCCAUGCACUUGACCUUCUUUGUUUGUAAUUUUUUCAGAUUAAAAUUAAUGCAACAAUAAAACAAGAAGAUGUCUAUUUAUAUAAUUGCACAGGUCAAUUCCUGGAGUAACCAUCCCCCCGGGACACCCCUGGGAAUUUGCCUAAUAGACAGUUCACAGGGGUCGGGAAUUUACCUGUCAUAUACAUGUACAGGGGCCGGG
Molecule: non-coding RNA, 780 nt
Organism: Paramuricea clavata
Lineage: Eukaryota; Metazoa; Cnidaria; Anthozoa; Malacalcyonacea; Plexauridae
Source: the annotation of a GenBank genome assembly